GACGAACGCUGGCGGCGUGCUUAACACAUGCAAGUCGAACGGUGAAGCGCCUUCCUUUUUGGUGGGUGUGGAUGAGUGGCGAACGGGUGAGUAACACGUGAGUAACCUGCCCCCUUCUUCUGGAUAACCGCAUGAAAGUGUGGCUAAUACGGGAUAUUCUGGGUCUGUCGCAUGAUGGGUCUGGGAAAGAUAUUGUUUCGGUGGGGGAUGGGCUCGCGGCCUAUCAGCUUGUUGGUGGGGUGAUGGCCUACCAAGGCGGUGACGGGUAGCCGGCCUGAGAGGGUGGACGGUCACACUGGGGCUGAGACACGGCCCAGACUCCUACGGGAGGCAGCAGUGGAGAAUAUUGCACAAUGGGCGCAAGCCUGAUGCAGCGACGCCGCGUGAGGGAUGGAGGCCUUCGGGUUGUGAACCUCUUUCGCCAGUGAAGCAGGCCUGCCUCGUUUGUGGGUGGGUUGACGGUAGCUGGAUAAGAAGCGCCGGCUAACUACGUG
RNAcentral lists this ribosomal RNA (494 nucleotides) under uncultured bacterium. Its description in RNAcentral is "partial 16S ribosomal RNA". It matches the Rfam family "Bacterial small subunit ribosomal RNA", at positions 28 to 507 of the family's 1533-position model. The record is from RNAcentral.